CAUAAGGAGGGCAGCAACAAUGUGGCUACUGAGCACUUUCAUCCUGACGGCUGGUUUUUCUUGCAGUUCUGCACAAGACUUGCAGCAGACCCCCAUAUCCAUCACCAAGGCAGAAAGCAAAACAGUGCUAAUCAACUGUCAUGUCUCCGAUCCUGAUUUUAACAACGUUUUCAUUCACUGGUACAGAAAGAGGCCAAACACGGCUCCCAAGCGCAUUGCCUACAUGUCCUCCCGGCUUUUCCUUGAAAACAAGUCUGAUGAUGGGAAAUUUAGUAUUGAGAAGGAUGCCACCAAAUCUGUCUGCACCCUGACAGUGAGCAAAGGAACUCUGCAAGACUCCGCUACCUACUACUGUGCUAGGUGGGAUGCACAGCAGUAGAAAGCCAUAGGGAACCUGCACAAAGACGUGCUCUGCUUCCUGAACCAGAUCCUGAAGUGUUUGACAACAAGCAGGAA
Molecule: non-coding RNA, 456 nt
Organism: Grus americana (Whooping crane)
Lineage: Eukaryota; Metazoa; Chordata; Aves; Gruiformes; Gruidae
Source: the annotation of a RefSeq genome assembly